CGUGGAUAACCUGCCUCACACAGGGGGAUAACAGUUAGAAAUGACUGCUAAUACCGCAUAAGCGCACGGCAUCGCAUGAUGCAGUGUGAAGAACUCCGGUGGUGUGAGAUGGAUCCGCGUCUGAUUAGGUAGUUGGUGGGGUAACGGCCCACCAAGCCGACGAUCAGUAGCCGACCUGAGAGGGUGACCGGCCACAUUGGGACUGAGACACGGCCCAA
This 218-nucleotide ribosomal RNA is filed under the name uncultured bacterium. Its description in RNAcentral is "partial 16S ribosomal RNA". It matches the Rfam family "Bacterial small subunit ribosomal RNA", at positions 116 to 334 of the family's 1533-position model. The record is from RNAcentral.